UACAAGGAGGUAAGGGGUGGAUACAGGUUAAUAGAUGGGUGAGAGAGAGAGGAUACAGGUUAAUACAAGGGAGUAAGGGGUGGAUACAGGUUAAUAGAUGGGUGAGAGAGAGAGGAUACAGGUUAAUACAAGGAGGUAAAGGGUGGAUACAGGUUAAUACAAGGGAGUAAGGGGUGGAUACAGGUUAAUACAUGGGUGAGAGAGAGAGGAUACAGGUUAAUACAAAGGAGUAAGGGGUGGAUACAGGUUAAUACAUGGGUGAGAGAGAGAGGAUACAGGUUAAUACAAGGGGUCAAGGGGUUUAGUUAGUGCCAAGGGGGGAAAUUGUUACUCCUGGAAAGCAAUUAGUCCACUCUGAAAGAAGGAUUUACAAGCACAAGGCAAACAAUUAUCUAUUCAUACAAAUAACAUAUAAAAUCCCUCCACUUUCACACUUGUAAAACCAAAACACUUACAACUUAAUACACUUCAAAACAAAAACAAAAAAAUAGUUAAAAUUCAUGCACUUUCUAAUUAAAACCAAUAUACUUUUAAACAUGGAGACAAUCAAAACAGUAUUACCAACACCCCU
Molecule: long non-coding RNA, 571 nt
Organism: Eriocheir sinensis (Chinese mitten crab)
Lineage: Eukaryota; Metazoa; Arthropoda; Malacostraca; Decapoda; Varunidae
Exons: 3
Source: RefSeq, a predicted model, not a curated record